RNAcentral lists this long non-coding RNA (1042 nucleotides) under Nicotiana benthamiana. Its description in RNAcentral is "long non-coding RNA (NBEN_LNC013858)". The record is from RNAcentral. Lineage: Eukaryota; Viridiplantae; Streptophyta; Magnoliopsida; Solanales; Solanaceae.
CCACAUUAUCAUCUAGGUUUGGUUGAAAGAGAGAGUCAUCAAUGCAACAACUGACUGUGCCAUGUAUGACUAAACCAAUCUUAUCUGUCAUGAGAACUUUUAGCCUCACGCAGUUCCGCAAAUAAUUUGAACAAAAAACACACAAACCAUUUUAUAUCCAACAAUUUGCAUUCAGAGUUAUGCUUAAAAUAAUUGAAUAAGAUGAGAGAAGGUUGUUGAAUUUUAUAAGGACCUCUUAUUUUUAAUGUAUUGAAAUAAACACCUGGCACGAAUUCUAAUAAACAUUUUGGAAAAUAAUGCUGGACCAAUAUAAGGCUCUGAUGGUAAGCAACCCCCACUUCCAACCGAGAGGUUGUGAGUUCGAGUCUCCCCAAGAAAAGGUCAUUAGCGACCAGAAAAAUAUAUAAAGUUUAUCACCAUAAUAUUAAGACAAGAGGGAUUGCUCUGAUGGUAAGCAACCCCCACUUCCAACCGAGAGGUUGUGAGUUCGAGUCUACCUAAGAGCAAGGUGGGAAGUUCUUGAAGGGAAGGAUGUCGGGGGUCUAUUUGAAAAUAGCCUCUCUAUCCCGGGGUAGAGGUAAGGUCUGCGUACAUACUACCCUCCCCAGACCCCACUAUGUGGGAUUAUACUGGGUUGUUGUUGUUGUUGUUUCAAGAGAAUACUCUGCAAUAUGAAUAUUUAAAGGCCACUCUAUUCAUAUCUAUCUCAUUCCAAUACAAUAUAAUACUCUCUCUUAUUCAUUUUAUACAAAACCCUUUUUUUAUUCCAAAAAGAUUGACACCUUUUUAUAUUUGAAAAUUCUUUAAAUUAACACUCAUGUUUUUGCCGUUAAAGCCCUUACAGAUAUGAUCUUAUAGGAAUUGAAGUGACUUCCAUUGUUUAUGUCCUUAAAUUUAACGCUCCGUAAUAGCAUAUUUGUCAGCAUGUACUUCCAUUGUUUAUGUCUUAUUUUGACUAAGCACAAAAUUAAUGAAGACUUUUGAAUCUUGUGGUCAUAAUUAAAGAUGUGUAUAACAUACAAAUAAUACCCUUUGAAUCUUG